RNAcentral lists this long non-coding RNA (11386 nucleotides) under Homo sapiens (human). Its description in RNAcentral is "non-protein coding TMEM161B-AS1:52". The record is from RNAcentral. Lineage: Eukaryota; Metazoa; Chordata; Mammalia; Primates; Hominidae.
AGAGCGCCGUCGACCCCACGCCACGCAGAGGUGAAGAUACGCAGGACGUCCUCUAAAGCAACUUCCGUGGGUGCCAGGUUGUGGGCUGGGGGCGGUGCUGACCUUGAGAGAGCGGAGGAGGCGCAGGCGCAGCACAGGUGGCAAUUGAAGCCGGAAGAACAUCUACCAAGAGCAGAGAACCCAGGAAGAAAAUUCUGCCUCUUUAAUACGUUCCAAUAUGGACGUUUUCCAUAUAGAUACCUAUCUAUAUAGAUAGAUGCUCUGGGAUCUGACGGUCCUGGACACCUUUUAAACUUGAUUUUGUGAGGGGACGAACAGCGUGACAAUUAAAAGAAGAUCUGGGAAUCGUAAGUACUGACAGAAUACCUGGAGGGAAGGUGGGACUGGAGAAUAGUUUGUGAAACAGAUCCUGCUGAGGAUGAAUCCAGAACUUCCUGAAGGGUUCCGCUUCUGCUGUGUAGGGACAAGGUUGUAAAUAGACAAGCCACAGGCACCUGCAAAUGGUAAGUGUGGUAGAGAGGGGCUGGAAUUGCCUGUUGGUGUAUCUGUGGGAAGCAGCUGCUAUCCUUGAGGAAGAAAAGAUGGAGAAGGUAAGUGGCUAUCAACCUGUCAGAGACAACACAUUCUGUGAAGUUGUACUCUUUCAUUUCUGACACUGUGGUUCUUAAUAUCUGUCCUAAACCUGGCAGUCAUUGAGGUUCGCAAAGUAUCUCCUUCUAUGUGACAGUAAAACUGGAAUUACUAUCAGAAUGGAAUCCAUUCCUGCUAGAGUAAAACCAUGAAAAGAAAUCGCAGUUUUGAUUAUCUGCUUAUCAUUUUUAAUAGAUCACAGAGUGCAGUGUUCCUUAUUUGUUGUAUGGCAAGUUGAUGAAUAACUCUUGAUUAAUAUCUUUUAAUGUUCUGUUUCACACAGUUCUCUCAAUUACAUGUGAAAAAUCUGUUAUAUAAGUAAUGCUAUUUAAUGAUUAAAAUGGAUAUAUGUUUUAAGGUAGUGCCACCCAGUCUUUUUUUUUUGGUAGAAUAAUAUUAUUAUCUAUUGGUUGCCUGCCUUGAAGUACAGUAAUUUCUCUGUUUCCAUUAUUUAAAAUAGGUGAGUGUCUUUGACAAAGAUACAAAGAAAGGGGACAGUUAUGAAAGGGAAGAAAAGAUAGAUGGAGAUGAAAAGAAAUUCAGUAGUUUCAGCAAGGGAAUUAGGAGCAUAAUCUUUGAGAAAAGUCUUGGUUGCUUACCAUUCGGGCUUUGUGAUGAGUUGAAAUGUCCUGAAUGAGAACUGUUCUCAAAUGCUUUCAAGACCAACAAAAAGUACGAUACCCACACUGACCUGGAACUCUUUAAACCAUUAAGAUAUAUCACUUUUUCGCAGUUCAGUCCAUAUUUUUUGCAAAAUGUUCUGCUUAGUUUUUCUGCUAAGAAAUUACUGUUUCUGAACAAGGUUAAGUGUCGUAUGCUUUCAUUGUAGUUUUUUUUCCCCUAACAUAUACUGUUUUCCUAAUUAGACUAUAAAUUCCUCCACAGCUGGGACCUUGUUUUGUUUUCUCGCCUUCCCCAUAACAAAUAUCAUUUAAGUGAAUGUUGUAAACAGUUACUUCAUUUAAAUUGCCCUUAAAAUGCUUUAUGACAAAGACGUUAUUUGUAGUAAUACCUAUAAUGGUAAAAAGUUUGUUGCAGUCUUACAGACGAUAAGAUUGAUCAAUUGUUAUAUAUGCUUAGUGGAAUUUUAUCUAGCUGUUCUAAAGAGCCAUUAGACUAGUCUUUCUAAUGGAAAAUGUUUAUUGUCUAAGUUAAAACAGCAUUUGAGGCCAGGCACAGUGGCUCACUCCUGUUAUUGCAGCACUAUGGGAGGCUGAGGUGGGAGGAUCACUAGAGCACAAGAGUUGGAGACUAGCCUAGGCAAUAUAGUGAGACCUCUUCUCUACAAAAAAUUUAAAAAUUAGCUGAGUGUGAUGGGGUGUGCCCGUAGUUCCAGCUACUCAGGAGACUGAGGUGGGAGGAUCACUUGGGUCCAAGAGGUAGAUGUUGCAGUAAACCAAGAUCAUGCCACUGCACUGCAGCCUGGGCAACAGAGCAAGAUCCUGUCUCAAAAAAUUAAAAAGCAUUUUAUAGACUGCAUGUUUGUGUCCCCCCUCCCUCCGCACCAGAAUUCAUAUAUUGAAGCCUUAAUCUCCAAUGACAUGAUAUUAGUAGGUGGGGCCUUUGGGGGGUGAUUAAAUAAUAAGGGUGAAGCCCUGCAUGGGAUUAGUGCCUUUACAACAAGAGACCCUAGACAGCUUGCUUCCACUCUUUCUUUGCUCUUCACCAUGUGAGGACACAGCAAGAAAACAGACAACUACAAAUCAGGAAGAGGGCCUAAUUUGUGCCAACCAUGCUGGCACUCUUCUCUAACUUCCCAGCCUCCAGAACUGUGAGAAAUAAAUUUCUGUUGUUUAAGUCACCCAGUUUAUGGUAGUUUGGUUAUAGUUGCCCAUAUUAAGACAGCAGGAUGCAAAAUUGUGGCCAGUAUGAUUGCUUUGACAUGAAACAAAUUUUAAGCACAAAUUGCAAAAAGUAACCAAAAUAUAUCAAUCCCCACUGCUGGCAUUAACACUCUAAAACAAACUUUGUAUAUUGGGGGAUUUUAUUUAUUUAUUUAUUUAUUUUUUUUGCUGACCAUAGUGACUCAUGCCUAUAAUCCCAGCACUUUGGGAGGCCGAGUUGGGCAGAUCACUUGAGGCCAGGAAUUCAAGACCAGCCUGGCCAACAUGGCAAAACCCCCUCUUUACAAAAAUAUAAAAAUUAACCAGGCAUGGUGGCACACCCCUGUAGCCCCACCUACUUGGGAGGCUGAGGUGGGAGGAUCGCUUGGGCCUGUGAAGCAGAGGUUGCGGAGAGCUGUGAUGGCACCACUGCACUCCAGCCUGUGUGACAGAGCGAGACUAUCUCAAGAAAAAAAAAAAAGGAUGAGGAUUUUUUUUGUUUUCAACAUGCUUUUUAACAUCCACUAUAUUACUCUCAUCUUUCUAGGCUGGAAAAAAAAAUGUUUUAAAUGUUAUUCUGAAGUAUAUUGCAACCUUUAACAAUUCAGUAGACUUCUGAAUUUUUAUUUUCAUGUAGCUUACCACAGUUGUAUCUAGGAAUAUAUCACAUAGCUGAUUAAUUGGUGAAAUAACCCUUGCAAUUUUACACAGGUUGUACAGUGCACAUUUUCAAGGACCACUCACAUACAUCCAUUUGAUAUUUUUUGGUAUCAAGAAAGUCUUUAAACAAUCAGUACCACCAAUAGCAGUAAAAAGACAAAACUGUCUGAAAGUACCUAUCUGUUUAAAACUUUAAUUAGCUUUAUCCAUCCAUUAAAUAGUUAUUGAAUAUAAAACUGUAUCAUUCACUCUUCUACACUCUGAGGAAAUAGUGGUAAAUAAAGCAGAUAUUGUCCCUACUAUCAGGAAAUUUACAUUUUAGUAGUAAUAAGCCAUAAAUUAACAAAAACAGAAGACAGUGGUAAGUACUAGGCAUGAAAUUCAAACAUGACUAUUUUAGAUUAGGUGAUUAAAGAAACUAAAAUACCAUUUAAGCUGCUGUGUAAAUGACAAGAGAAUCCAGCUUUGUAAAAAUUGGUGAACCCUUUGCUUGCAGAAGGGACAACUGCAAAAUCUAAGGCAUGAUCUAGCCUGGAAUAUUUCAGGAGCCAAAAGAAGGCCUGCAUGGUUAGAGAAUAGUGACUUAAGACGCAAAUACUGUAACUUUGGAGGGAUAGGAAAGGGCUAGAUCAUGUUACCUUUGAAAGACAGGAAAGAGUUUAGAUUUUAUUCUAUGUGCAAUGGAAAAAAAAAUGAGAGCAUUUUAAUCCAAAGAGUAAUAUAAGAUAAUAUAUUUUUAAAAUCCACUUUGGUAAUUUGUUAAUUGGCAUAAAGAGUCAGCUUUCAUGUAACAUAAUUACUAACAUACUUGGAUUUAAAUUUGUCAUUAUUCUUAUUUUAUUUGUCCCACCUCUUAUAUGUUCAUUUUGUCUUCUUUUGCCUUUUUGAUUUUUUUUUUUCUUAAUUAGGCCAUAGCACCUGAUAUUCCCAGGCAGACUCUCAUCCAAGUGCCAAUCAGCCCCAGCCCUGCUUAGCUUCCCAGAUCAGAUGAGAACAGGCAUAUUCAGGGUGGUAUGGCUAUAGACCUUUUAGAUUAUUUUUAAUUAUUCCAUUUUUUCUACCUCAUAAGCUUGACAGAUGUCUUUUAGUAUCUUUUUACUGUUCACCUCAGGUAUUAAAACAUGGAACCUUGGUUUAUCAUCUUUAAGAUAAUUUGGUAUUAUACUUCUUCCAGGACAAUGUAAGGACCUGCGAACACAUCAACUUCAUUUACUGCCACACCUCAUGUUAUAUACAUUGUAUAUUCUUAAUAUGUAUUUCCUAAAUUCUCAAGACAUUUUUUAUACAAUAUGAAUUUACAUUUCAUAUUGUAUAAAACAUUUACUUUUUCUAUUGUGUUUCGUGGUUCCUGGAAUCUGAGCUUCCAUCUAAGACCUUAUUUCUUCUUGAAGGACAUACUUUAAUAUUUCUUCGAAUAUCUACUGGUAACAAUUCAUUCAGAUUUUCUGUCCUGACACUGUCUUAUUUUACUUUCAUUUUCUAAGAACGUUUUUGCUGAAUUAGCAGCUAUUUUAUCAUUUUGAAGAUAUAUUUUAUUCCUUCUGGCUUCCAUUAUGUCCUCUAAGACAUAAUGUCCAUUUUGUUUUUUUCUCUUCAAAGGUAAUCUUUUUUUGGAUGGCUACUUUUAAGAGGUUUGUCUUAAGUUUGGUGUGCCCACAUGUGUUUUGUGUUUGUUUUUUUGUGUGUGUGGUUUUUUUCUGCUUCGAGAUUGAUAAUGUUUCUUGAAUCUGGCUGUGAUGUCCUUAGGCUGUUUGAGAAAAUUCUUAGCUCUGUUUGAUCAGACAUUGCUUCUGCUUUCACUCUCCUUUCUCCUCUUCUUUUGAUACUCCACUUACAUUUGUAUUUGACAAUUCACUUUGUCCCUUGUAUUUUCCAUUUAUUUUCUUGUCUGUUUCAUCCUGAAUAUUUCUUCUUAACUUUCAGUUCACUAUUUUCUCUUAGUAGUCUCGAAUUUGUUAAAUCUCUCUUGAAGCAUUUAUUUUAGUUAUAUUUUUGGUUAUCAGUUCAAACAUUUCUACUUGAUUCUGUUUUAUUGUUUCCAGUUGUUUAUCCAAUAUCUCAAUCUUUUAUUUCCUCAAACAUACUAAUCAUAAUUACUUUAAAACCUGUAUCUAAUAACUAUGGUGUCUGCUAUUAUCUGACACUUUUCUUGUUUCUUGCUGUUAUCACAUUGUCUUGCUUUUAUGUCCCUUAUUUUUAUGUUAUUUUGUAUUAUUUAUUUUAUAAACAUUAUAAAUAUAUAAAACUUGGCUUAGGUUAUGUUUUAAUUGAAUGUCAGAAUUGUUUUGAUUGAACUGUAUAUGAGGAAACUAUACUUUGAAGUCCAAUAUGAUGGUAUUUUCUAAAGAAAGAAUUUAUGUCUCCUGGCAAGACCUUUGGACACUAGUAAUCUAAGAUCUUCUUAAUCUGGUUAGUGAUAGAGACAAUUAGAAUAUAGGCAGGUCUAUUUCCUGUUCAUACUUUCACAAUGUAGACCUCUGAAGUCCCAACUCAAGCAUGCAGAGUUUACCAGAUCAGGCCCUAAACUUCAGUUUUUGUCUUUUUAAUUCUAUGGGUUAGAAACUCUGUUCAACUUUUCAGCCAUCACCUCAGGAAUCAGAAGAUACUCCAGAGGAAAAGCUAAUGUAAAUGCUGGAUUCAACAACUCUGUUUUUUCCUUCUGAAUAUUUCAUUGUCUCUAAUGCUGUCAGAUGUUUGUUUUAUAUUUUGUCCAAGCUGAGUGUGGUGGCUCACGUCUGUAAUUUCAGCACCUUGGGAGGCCAAGGCGGGACCAUCCCUUGAGGCCAGGAAUUUGAGACUAGCCUAGGCAACAUAACAAGACCUUUGUCUCUUGGAAAAAAAUAAAUAAAUAAAUAUUAUUAGAAGUGAAAAUGGGGAUGUUGUUACAAAUGCUGUGGAGAUUGAUGAGAAAUUAUGAACAACUUAAUAAUAAAUGGGAAAAUAUAAAUGAAGUAGGCAGUUCCAGAAAAUGUAACUUUUCAAAAGCCAUGUAAUGGAAAAUAUAAAUGGUGGGAUGUUGAUGUAAGAAAUCAUGAUGCCCAGAGACUUUUGCCAAACCUUCAAAGGACAGAUCAUUACAAUUUUACACAAACCAUUCCACAGUAUAUUCCACUUAUAUACUGUGGAAUUGGCCCUUACUGCCCUUAUCAAAUUUAACAUCAAGGUUACAGAAGCUUAAUAUUACUGCCCUGAUUUUAUUAGGGCAGUAAUGAUUUGAUAAGGGCAGUAAGAAUUACAGCCCUGUCAUAUUCGCAAAGACAAAAAUCCUAAAUAAAACAGACCUUAGAAAAUGUGUUUUUAAGAAAAGAUAAUAAAACAUGAUCAGGUUGAAUUUAACCCAGGAAUGUAUUUUAGUAUAUUAAGAGAUUAGAAAAACUAUCUGGCUAUCUGAACAGAUGCAGGAAAAGAAAACUAUUUGAAAAAAUUAACAGACAUAGAUAAACCUUUGGGCAAAUUAGAAUUGUGUAGAACUUCCUUGAGCCAAUAAAACCUACAACAACAAUAUUUUAAGAUGAAGUAUUUGAAGCAGUCCAUUAGAAUCAGGAACAAGUACUAUGUUGGAGAUCCUAGCCAGCAUUAUAAGGCAAGAAAAACAAAAGAUUAAAAAUUGUAAAUAAACAUAACUUAGUCUACAGAUAAAUUAUUGAAGAGCUUUGCAAGGAUUCUGAAUAUACUAUUGAUAUGGUUUGGAUCUGUGUCCCUACCCAAAUCUCAUGUUGAAUUGUAAUCCCCAAUGUUGGAGGUGAGGCCUGGUGGGAGAUUGGAUCACGGGAAUGGGUUUCUCAUUCGUGGUUUAGUACCAUCCUCUUGGUACUGUCCUUGAAAUAGUUCUUAGGAGAUCUGGUAAUUUAGAAUUGUGUGGUACCUCUCCCCUCUCUCUUGCUCUUGCUCCCCCUUUGCCUUCCACCAUGAUUGGAAGCUUCCUGAAGCUGCCUCAGAAGCAGAAGCCACUAUGCUUCCUGUACAGCUUGCAGAACCAUGAGCCAAUUAAACCCCUUUUCUUUAUAAAUUACUCAGUCUCCAGUAUUUAUAGCAAUGUGAAAACAGAUAAUAUGACUAUCAAUAUACAAAAGUGAAUUGCAUUUCUUUCCAGCAGAAAUGAACUGUUAGAAAAUGAUUUUUGUAACAUACCAUUUACUAUAUUCCUUUAAAAAUAUAAAUUAGGUAACUUAACAAAAGGUAUAGAAGACCUCUGUAGAAAAUUACAAAACUUUAUUGACAGGCAUUUAAAAAUGUCUAAUUUUAAAAUUGCCAUGUUCAAUGAUUAAAAGACUCGAGUUAAGAUGGCAGUUCUCCACUACACAAUGAAGGUAAUUGCAAUACAAAUCCCAAAUGAGUUUUUCAAGGAGCUUGACAAACUGAUUCUAAAGUCUGUAUGACAAAAAGCAGAAUUCAGGAUACUCCAGAAGCAGAUUUAAGAUAGAAUUGACUUGUAGAUAUUCGUAACAGCAAAAAAAUAAAAACAACUCAAAUAUCCAUCAAAAGAUAAAAUGUUUAUCCAUGAAAAGAUACUCAAAAAGUGACACCUUUAUAUAAUGGGAUAUAUUUGGCUGCAAAAAGGAAUGAACUGCUAAUACCUGCUAUAAUGUGGAUAAACCUUGAAAGCCUGCUGAAAUAAAGAAGCCAGUCACAAAGGACCACUUAUGAUUCCAUUUAAACAAAGUGUAUAAAGUAGAAAAUGUAUUGAGACAAUAGAUUGUGGUUGUUUAGGGCUUACAAAGUUUGGGGUGAUGGGGGCCCGAGGUAGUGACAGCUAAAGGGUGCAGUUUCUUUUUGAGGCAAUAAAGUUCUAAAAUGUAUAGUUGCACGUUUCUGUAGAUACACUAAAAUCAAUUCAGUUGUGCAUUUAAAUGAGUAAAUUGGUAUGUGAAUUGUACCUCAAUAAAUCUGUUAAAACCAUAGUAAUUAGGAUAUUGUAAUACUGGCUUAGAGAUGGAAAAAUUGAUUUAUAAGGAAUCCUGAUUGUAAGGAAUCUUGACUUAUGUCAGAGAUGGCAUUGCAUACCAGCAGGGAAAGCUAGAUCAUUUCAAUAGAUGACGCUGCAUAUUCAUAUGGGGGAAAAAUGAAAUUGGUCCUCCCUACCUAACACCAUACAGAAAAAGUAGUUUCAGAUGACUUUAAGAUGUAAGUGUGAAAGGAAAACAUAGUAAACCUUCAAAAGAAAGAUUGCAAAAUAUUUUUAUGAUCUUAUGGUAGGGAAAUGUAAUAUGUAUAAAGGAAAACAUGUAUGUCCAAUAUGUUAAAGUUAAAAACCUCUGUUCAAGACUCCAUAAACCCUCAGAAUAGCGGUUAAUUUCAGUCAUGCCCAGGAAACAUACAAGAUGAGCCUGGAAUACCUUGUGCAAGAUAGCAAGGAAGCUAUUAGAGACUACGAGGGUGUCAUAUCAAAUGGACUCAGGAGACAACUGAAAAGCAUCCUUCUGGCCAUAGAUGAGACCAUUUGAGUGUCAAUAAGGACAGUAAAUGCAAUUGAUUGGAACAUAUCAAGUGUCUUUAAAUCUGAGUACAUAAUGAUUGUAAAACAAACAGCAUUUAGUUGGUCAACAGUAGAAGAUGCUGUUGCAUCAAUUCAUUAUUUUGAAAAUCAGUUUUGUUUUGUUUUUAAAGUAAUUAGGCAUUUGUCCUGCCUUUUGUAUGUGAACUGUAAGUAACCACAUAGUAGAUGAGGAGAGGGUUCUCUUUGUACAUGUAUUCUAGCUAAUAAAUGGAGGAAUGAUAGAAAAUUGCCAUUUUGAAAUUCCUAAUGAACAAAUGGAUUUAUUUAUUGCAUUUCAACAGCUGCUAACAUGACAGACAAGAAAACAUAUGUUUCUUAAUGGAAAAACACCACUACUGAUGUUAAAAUCUUAUCAAAAAUUUGACCCUGAUACUAAUCAGGUCUUUAGAUCCAUCCAAUUUGCAGAAAAUAUAAACACCAUUAAAACUUUAAGCCAAUGAAACCUACCACAACGUAAUAUUUUGGAAUGGAAAAUAUAAAUGAAAAAUCCAAUUUUGGAGAAUAUUGGGACAAAUUAAUUUCAACAAAUAUGUUGCAGGAGAAAAGGAGACGAGAAGGACAAGUGGAGAAAACCGUAGAUUACAAGAGACUUAGUUCAAUAUGAAGCAACCUGUGAACUUGGAUUAGUUAUCUUACUGUAUAACAAAUCACCCUAGCUUAAAUCUAAAAAUAUUUAUACACUUUCUUAGGAUCCACAGGUGGUUUAGCUAGAUGUUCUGGCCCAAGGUCUCAUGAAUUUGCAGUCAAGAUGUUGGCUGGGCUGUAGUCUGAAAGUUUGACUGGUGUUAGAGGAUCCACUUCCUAGAGGGCUCAUUCGUAGAGCUGCCUGUGUUUUCUCACAACAUGGCAACUGGCUUUCUCUAGAACAGGUGAUCCAAGAGAGAGACAGAAACCAUGAUCAUUCAGAGUGAUGUAACAUUACUUCUACUAUAUAAUGUUAGUCACACAGACAUUUCCCUGACAAUAUGUGGGAGGAGAUUACACAAGAGCAUGAAUACUGGGAAGCUAGCUGUCACAAUUUGGCCCCAAUGAUUGAUAGUUCUUGAUUUGCAAAAUAUAUUCAUCCCCUCCAAAAGCUCUCCAAAGCUCUCAUCCUAUGACACCAUUAGUUCAAGGUCUAGAAAUCUAAAUCAGUUCCAAUUGUGGAUGACACUCAUAGGUGUACUUAAGUACAGCUCCUCAAGAAGAGUUCUUUUUGAUCUGAAGACUCAUACACUAAAGACACAGUCUCUGCUUCCACAUGUAAUAGAAAAUGAAUAGGAUAAUAAAUGUGGACAUGUAUAUUUAAAAAGAGGGAAUAUUGGAGGUACAUAGGUUCACAGAAAUUCUGAAACCCACCUGGGCACAGAUUGGCAGUUGCUUGGUCAAGUUUCAAGGCCUAGAAUUCUCUUAGCUCUGCCUUCUGGGAUCUUGGAUCUACUCACUGAGUCACCCUUUCUUUUUCUUGUUUACACUUCUGCCUGCUUUCUGCCUAUAGAAGCUUGGAUGUCCCACAAGCUUCUUUCCAUUUGGUUCUCUCUGUGCCUUUCAGUCCAGGCUGGCCAUGUUUCUGCUAAUAGACUUCUCUUAAAAACUUUGUGGCUCACUUGUGAAUUUUGAGUUCACUCCAUCAGACAAAAGCAACAACCACACAUCUCGUCCCACAUAAACUCUGCCUCAAGCUUUUGCUGAUGAAAAUACCCUUAAACUUUUUAAAAACCUGUGAUGUUAUUCAGAGAUUUUCUGAGACACAUCGUUUGUCUGAUGAAAAUACUCUGAGGCACAACUUAAGAUCUUUCUGAGCUAUUAAAGGACUUUAUAACUACAGCCUCAACUUUAUGUUUUACUGGCAGUGCCCUAGAUUUGCUUUUUGCUCAGAGAUAUUCCCCAAUUUUAGCACAUUUGUCAUCUGCACAGGCUGGGAAUCUUCAAAUCCAGCAAGUUUUGACUUGUUUUUGUUUGUUUGUUUGUAAUAGAGUCUGUUUUUUGCUGUGUUGGCCAGGUGAUCUUGGACUCCUGGCUUCAAGCAUUCCUCCCACCUCAGCCUCCCAAAGUUCUGGGAUUUUAGGUAUAAGCCACCAUGCCCAGCCAUGGCUCCUUUUUGUUUAACAGUCCUUACUUUGAUGGUCUCUCUUCUCACACAUUUUACUAUCAGCAACAAGAAAAAAUACACAUGAAAUAUUUAACACUUGGCCGGCAAUCUCCUUUGCUAGAUCAAUGAGUUAAUUAGGCAUUUUUUCUACUUUGUACAUAUCUGUGGAUAACAAAUUUGCUAAACUUUCUGCCAUUAUGUAACAAGGAUCUCCUUCCCUCUAGUUUCCAAGAAGAGUUUUCUAAUCUGUUAAGAUGUCACCUGCAGCCUCCUCAAAGGUUAUCUAUUAUGCUUCUAUAAAAAAUUUCUUCAAAGCUCUUCAAACUUUCAUUAACACUCUCCUCCAAGUUCUACCUUCUGUUCACUGCCAGUUUUAAAACCACACUUACAUUUUAGGUUUUUGCUAACACCCCACUUCUGAGUACCAAAAUGUAUACUGAUUUUCUAUUGCUGCAUAAUAAACUGCCCCAAAAUACAACAUGCAAAGCAAUAAAUAUUCAUUAUCUCAUGUAGUGUCUGAAGGUCAAAAAUCCGGAAGCAGCAUAGCUGAGUGGUUCUGAUUCAUUGUCUCUUGUGAAGUUAUCAGUCAAACCAUCAGCUGAGACUGUAAUCAUCUGAUGUUUUAACUAGUACCAGAGGAUACACUUUCACAUGCUAUUGGCAGGACACUUUAGUUCUUCACUAGCUGUUUAGCAGAAUACCGCA